RNAcentral lists this ribosomal RNA (1280 nucleotides) under Staphylococcus aureus. Its description in RNAcentral is "partial 23S ribosomal RNA". It matches the Rfam family "Bacterial large subunit ribosomal RNA", at positions 1562 to 2844 of the family's 2925-position model. Lineage: Bacteria; Bacillati; Bacillota; Bacilli; Caryophanales; Staphylococcaceae. The record is from RNAcentral.
GUGAUGGGGAGAAGACAUUGUGUCUUCGAGUCGUUGAUUUCACACUGCCGAGAAAAGCCUCUAGAUAGAAAAUAGGUGCCCGUACCGCAAACCGACACAGGUAGUCAAGAUGAGAAUUCUAAGGUGAGCGAGCGAACUCUCGUUAAGGAACUCGGCAAAAUGACCCCGUAACUUCGGGAGAAGGGGUGCUCUUUAGGGUUAACGCCCAGAAGAGCCGCAGUGAAUAGGCCCAAGCGACUGUUUAUCAAAAACACAGGUCUCUGCUAAACCGUAAGGUGAUGUAUAGGGGCUGACGCCUGCCCGGUGCUGGAAGGUUAAGAGGAGUGGUUAGCUUCUGCGAAGCUACGAAUCGAAGCCCCAGUAAACGGCGGCCGUAACUAUAACGGUCCUAAGGUAGCGAAAUUCCUUGUCGGGUAAGUUCCGACCCGCACGAAAGGCGUAACGAUUUGGGCACUGUCUCAACGAGAGACUCGGUGAAAUCAUAGUACCUGUGAAGAUGCAGGUUACCCGCGACAGGACGGAAAGACCCCGUGGAGCUUUACUGUAGCCUGAUAUUGAAAUUCGGCACAGCUUGUACAGGAUAGGUAGGAGCCUUUGAAACGUGAGCGCUAGCUUACGUGGAGGCGCUGGUGGGAUACUACCCUAGCUGUGUUGGCUUUCUAACCCGCACCACUUAUCGUGGUGGGAGACAGUGUCAGGCGGGCAGUUUGACUGGGGCGGUCGCCUCCUAAAAGGUAACGGAGGCGCUCAAAGGUUCCCUCAGAAUGGUUGGAAAUCAUUCAUAGAGUGUAAAGGCAUAAGGGAGCUUGACUGCGAGACCUACAAGUCGAGCAGGGUCGAAAGACGGACUUAGUGAUCCGGUGGUUCCGCAUGGAAGGGCCAUCGCUCAACGGAUAAAAGCUACCCCGGGGAUAACAGGCUUAUCUCCCCCAAGAGUUCACAUCGACGGGGAGGUUUGGCACCUCGAUGUCGGCUCAUCGCAUCCUGGGGCUGUAGUCGGUCCCAAGGGUUGGGCUGUUCGCCCAUUAAAGCGGUACGCGAGCUGGGUUCAGAACGUCGUGAGACAGUUCGGUCCCUAUCCGUCGUGGGCGUAGGAAAUUUGAGAGGAGCUGUCCUUAGUACGAGAGGACCGGGAUGGACAUACCUCUGGUGUACCAGUUGUCGUGCCAACGGCAUAGCUGGGUAGCUAUGUGUGGACGGGAUAAGUGCUGAAAGCAUCUAAGCAUGAAGCCCCCCUCAAGAUGAGAUUUCCCAACUUCGGUUAUAAGAUCCCUCAAAGA